Molecule: transfer RNA, 66 nt
Filed under: Euprymna scolopes
Lineage: Eukaryota; Metazoa; Mollusca; Cephalopoda; Sepiida; Sepiolidae
Description: tRNA-Asp
Source: RNAcentral
GAAAAGUUAGUUAAUUUAUAACGUAAAAUUGUCAAUUUUAAAUCACUAAUUUAUUAGUACUUUUCU